UACGGGAGGCAGCAGUGGGGAAUAUUGCACAAUGGGCGCAAGCCUGAUGCAGCCAUGCCGCGUGUAUGAAGAAGGCCUUCGGGUUGUAAAGUACUUUCAGUCGUGAGGAAGGUGUUAAGGUUAAUAACCUUAGCAAUUGACGUUAGCGACAGAAGAAGCACCGGCUAACUCCGUGCCAGCAGCCGCGGUAAUACGGAGGGUGCGAGCGUUAAUCGGAAUUACUGGGCGUAAAGGGCACGCAGGCGGUUAAUUAAGUUGGAUGUGAAAUCCCCGGGCUUAACCUGGGAAUGGCAUUCAAGACUGGUUAGCUAGAGUCUUGUAGAGGGGGUAGAAUUCCAUGUGUAGCGGUGAAAUGCGUAGAGAUGUGGAGGAAUACCGGUGGCGAAGGCGGCCCCUGGACAAAGACUGACGCUCAUGUGCGAAAGCGUGGGGACGACAACGGAGUAGUAGUACCUACCUGUAGAA
This 465-nucleotide ribosomal RNA is filed under the name uncultured bacterium. RNAcentral describes it as "bacterial SSU rRNA". It matches the Rfam family "Bacterial small subunit ribosomal RNA", at positions 340 to 793 of the family's 1533-position model. The record is from RNAcentral.